GACGAACGCUGGCGGCGUGCUUAACACAUGCAAGUCGAGCGGGGAUUGAUGAAGUGCUUGCACGGAUUCAAUUCUAGCGGCGGACGGGUGAGUAACGCGUGAGCAAUCUGUCCUACACAGGGGGAUAACAGAUGGAAACAUCUGCUAAUACCGCAUAAGACCACGGGAUCACAUGUUCCUGGGGUAAAAGAUUUAUCGGUGUAGGGUGAGCUCGCGUCCGAUUAGCUAGUUGGUGAGGUAACGGCCCACCAAGGCGACGAUCGGUAGCCGACCUGAGAGGGUGAUCGGCCACAUUGGAACUGAGACACGGUCCAAACUCCUACGGGAGGCAGCAGUGGGGAAUAUUGGGCAAUGGGCGCAAGCCUGACCCAGCAACGCCGCGUGAGGGAAGAAGGUUUUCGGAUUGUAAACCUCUGUCCUCAAGGACGAAGGAAGUGACGGUACUUGAGGAGGAAGCCCCCGGGCUAACUACGUG
This 475-nucleotide ribosomal RNA is filed under the name uncultured bacterium. Its description in RNAcentral is "bacterial SSU rRNA". It matches the Rfam family "Bacterial small subunit ribosomal RNA", at positions 28 to 507 of the family's 1533-position model. The record is from RNAcentral.